Molecule: ribosomal RNA, 465 nt
Filed under: uncultured Leuconostoc sp.
Lineage: Bacteria; Bacillati; Bacillota; Bacilli; Lactobacillales; Lactobacillaceae
Description: bacterial SSU rRNA
Rfam family: Bacterial small subunit ribosomal RNA
Source: RNAcentral
CCUACGGGGGGCUGCAGUAGGGAAUCUUCCACAAUGGGCGAAAGCCUGAUGGAGCAACGCCGCGUGUGUGAUGAAGGCUUUCGGGUCGUAAAGCACUGUUGUAUGGGAAGAACAGCUCGAAUAGGAAAUGAUUUUAGUUUGACGGUACCAUACCAGAAAGGGCGGGCUAAAUAGGUGCGAGCAGCCGCGGUAAUACGUAUGUCCCGAGCGGUAUCCGGAAUAAUUGGGCGUAAAGCGAGCGUAGACGGUUUGUUAAGUCUGAUGUGAAAUCCCAGAGCUUAACUCUAGAAUGGCAUUGGAAACUGGUUAACUUGAGUGCAGGAGAGGUAAGUGGAACUUCAUGUGUAGCGGUGAAAUGCGUAGAUAUAAGGAAGAACACCGGUGGCGAAGGCGGCUUACUGGAAUACUACUGACGUUGAGGCUCGAAAGCGUGGGUAGCAAACAGGAUUAGAUACCCUUGUAGUC